GAUGAACGCUGACAGAAUGCUUAACACAUGCAAGUCGAUGGGGAAGUGGUGCUUGCACCAUGGCAACCAUGGCGGACGGGUGAGUAACGCGUAAGGGACUUACCUGCAGGACUGGGAUAACAGGGGGAAACUCCUGACAAGACCGGAUAAUGUCAUGGAGCUGCAUGGCUUUAUGAUGAAAGGAGACGCCUGCGGAGAGCCUUGCGUCCUAUUAGCUAGUUGGUGAGGUAAUGGCUCACCAAGGCGAAGAUAGGUAGCCGGCCUGAGAGGGUGGACGGCCACAAGGGGACUGAGAUACGGCCCUUACUCCUACGGGAGGCAGCAGUGGGGAAUAUUGGACAAUGGGGGGAACCCUGAUCCAGCAAUUCUGUGUGCACGAAGAAGGUUUUCGGAUUGUAAAGUGCUUUCAGCAGGGAAGAAGUAAGUGACGGUACCUGCAGAAGAAGCGACGGCUAAAUACGUG
Molecule: ribosomal RNA, 463 nt
Filed under: uncultured bacterium
Lineage: Bacteria
Description: partial 16S ribosomal RNA
Rfam family: Bacterial small subunit ribosomal RNA
Source: RNAcentral